AGUACAGGAUGGACCCGCGUCUGAUUAGCUAGUUGGUAAGGUAACGGCUUACCAAGGCGACGAUCAGUAGCCGACCUGAGAGGGUGAUCGGCCACAUUGGAACUGAGACACGGUCCAAACUCCUACGGGAGGCAGCAGUGGGGAAUAUUGCACAAUGGGCGAAAGCCUGAUGCAGCAACGCCGCGUGAGUGAUGAAGGCCUUCGGGUCGUAAAACUCUGUCCUCAAGGAAGAUAAUGACGGUACUUGAGGAGGAAGCCCCGGCUAACUACGUGCCAGCAGCCGCGGUAAUACGUAGGGGGCUAGCGUUAUCCGGAUUUACUGGGCGUAAAGGGUGCGUAGGCGGUCUUUCAAGUCAGGAGUGAAAGGCUACGGCUCAACCGUAGUAAGCUCUUGAAACUGGGAGACUUGAGUGCAGGAGAGGAGAGUGGAAUUCCUAGUGUAGCGGUGAAAUGCGUAGAUAUUAGGAGGAACACCAGUUGCGAAGGCGGCUCUCUGGACUGUAACUGACGCUGAGGCACGAAAGCGUGGGGAGCAAACAGGAUUAGAUACCCUGGUAGUCCACGCUGUAAACG
This 573-nucleotide ribosomal RNA is filed under the name uncultured bacterium. RNAcentral describes it as "bacterial SSU rRNA". It matches the Rfam family "Bacterial small subunit ribosomal RNA", at positions 217 to 808 of the family's 1533-position model. The record is from RNAcentral.